CUGGUCCGCCAGCAUGCCUACAGCAUGGCCCUGGGGGAGGACUACCGCAGCCUGGUCAUCGGCCUGCAGUAUGGAGGGCUGCCUGCUGUCAACUCUCUCUACUCCGUCUACAACUUCUGCAGCAAGCCCUGGGUGUUCUCUCAGCUCAUUAAGAUCUUCCAUUCCCUGGGUCCUGAGAAGUUCCCGCUUGUGGAGCAAACAUUUUUCCCCAACCAUAAGCCAAUGGUCUCACCCUCCUUACCCUAGUCCUGGCCCUGAUCAUCCAGCUCUGUUCCCCUCCAGGGUACAUGCUCUUAACCACCCCACUAUGUGGCCUCUCCCAGUCAAGGGCACCAUCAGGAUUCAAAGAGCUUUGAAGGAGGUGACUUAUACUGGGAGCUGGAUGAGAAGGAAGAUUGCAAAGAGGCUCCCAGGGGAUGGCUCUGGCAAAAUACCAAGAAAAAAGUUUAUAAAGCGUUUAAAUAAACCUGUGAAAGACAAGACAGAUA
This 488-nucleotide small RNA is filed under the name Pan troglodytes (chimpanzee). Its description in RNAcentral is "processed transcript". Lineage: Eukaryota; Metazoa; Chordata; Mammalia; Primates; Hominidae. The record is from RNAcentral.